UAGCGUGUCUGCAGACUCACCCACUGAAAGAGAGACGGGGCGCUGCGGCCGGCCAAAUCCAUGAUGUUAAAAACAAGAAUGCAGCAGACACAGAGUCUCACCCCAGUCAGCGUUCUUCGUGUAAACCGUCUUCACUCGGACUGUGAUGACCGGAAACACCGACAGCGUGACGGCGAACACCAACGUCACACACAGAGCCAUCGGCCAGAUCUGUCAGACAACAACAACAGACUAGAAAACAACUGUGAGGAUUAAUUUACCUUCUUAAAGACGGCAAAGACAGAAGAGCGUUCGUCACUCUCCUCUGGGACUCCUCUCGCCUCCAG
Molecule: non-coding RNA, 326 nt
Organism: Poecilia reticulata (guppy)
Lineage: Eukaryota; Metazoa; Chordata; Actinopteri; Cyprinodontiformes; Poeciliidae
Source: RefSeq, a predicted model, not a curated record